GACGAACGCUGGCGGCGUGCUUAACACAUGCAAGUCGAACGGAGCGAAUGAAAGCUUGCUUUUAUAAGCUUAGUGGCAAACGGGUGAGUAACACGUAGACAACCUGCCGACAGGAUGGGGACAACAUUCCGAAAGGAAUGCUAAUACCGAAUGAAGUGCAGGGGAGGCAUCUCCCCUGCAUGAAAGAUGGCCUCUAUAUAUAUGCUAUCACCUGUUGAUGGGUCUGCGUCUGAUUAGCUGGUAGGUGAGGUAACGGCUCACCUAGGCGACGAUCAGUAGCCGGUCUGAGAGGAUGAACGGCCACAUUGGGACUGAGACACGGCCCAGACUCCUACGGGAGGCAGCAGUGGGGAAUCUUCCGCAAUGGGCGCAAGCCUGACGGAGCAACGCCGCGUGAGUGAAGAAGGUCUUCGGAUCGUAAAGCUCUGUUGAUGGGGACGAACGUGCCUAAUGCGAAUAGUUUUAGGC
Molecule: ribosomal RNA, 468 nt
Filed under: Centipeda noxia
Lineage: Bacteria; Bacillati; Bacillota; Negativicutes; Selenomonadales; Selenomonadaceae
Description: bacterial SSU rRNA
Rfam family: Bacterial small subunit ribosomal RNA
Source: RNAcentral